Molecule: ribosomal RNA, 666 nt
Filed under: Aetideopsis minor
Lineage: Eukaryota; Metazoa; Arthropoda; Copepoda; Calanoida; Aetideidae
Also listed under: 3 other names
Description: SSU rRNA
Rfam family: Eukaryotic small subunit ribosomal RNA
Source: RNAcentral
UCAUAUGCUUGUCUCAAAGAUUAAGCCAUGCAUGUCUAAGUACAAGCCUCACUAAGGUGAAACCGCGAAUGGCUCAUUAAAUCACACCUAAUCUACUGGAUAGUUAACAGUUACUUGGAUAACUGCGGUAAUUCUGGAGCUAAUACAUGCACAAAGCCCCGAACUUACGUGAGGGGCGCUUUUAUUAGAUCAAAACCAAACGGCUUUGCUGUUCUCUUGGUGACUCUGAAUAACUUUGGGCUGAUCGCAUAGCCUAGCGCUGGCGACAUAUCCUUCGAAGGUGUGCCCUAUCAACUGUCGACUGUGGCAUAGACGCCCACAGUGGUUUUGACGGGUAACGGGGAAUCAGGGUUCGAUUCCGGAGAGGGAGCCUUAAAAACGGCUACCACAUCUAAGGAAGGCAGCAGGCACGCAAAUUACCCAAUGACCGAAGGUCGAGGUAGUGACGAAAAAUAACGAUACGGGACUCAUCUGAGGCCCCGUAAUCGGAAUGAGUACACUUUAAAACCGUCCCCGAGGAUCUAUUGGAGGGCAAGUCUGGUGCCAGCAGCCGCGGUAAUUCCAGCUCCAAUAGCGUAUAUUAAAGUUGUUGUGGUUAAAAAGCUCGUAGUUGGAUCUCGGCGGUCUGAGGGCGGUUCACUUGCUAGUGCUACUGCCCUAUAGACC